Molecule: long non-coding RNA, 285 nt
Organism: Ctenocephalides felis (cat flea)
Lineage: Eukaryota; Metazoa; Arthropoda; Insecta; Siphonaptera; Pulicidae
Exons: 3
Source: RefSeq, a predicted model, not a curated record
GUGCGUGUGUGUUAUAAAUAUUGCAGCAACAUAUUGAAAGGGGGGCAGAUAUAAACGAUGCUUAUCCAGCAGCCAUGCCUAAUUUUGUAUCAAAUGCUGUGUUUGAAAGAGAAUUAACAAAGAAGAAAUGCUCUCCACUAUGUUUGUUGGAGGAGCUUCAACUUAUGGAUGAGGCUAUUCUUCUGAGCAAAGAUAUCAAAAUACAAUUGCCAUCAGAGUCCAGCUAUGAAAAUCCAUUUUUGAUGAUGGUUUGGACAAAGAAUUUUGCUAGGGACGAGGAAAGGG